GACGAACGCUGGCGGCGUGCUUAACACAUGCAAGUCGAGCGGUAAGGCCCUUUCGGGGGUACACGAGCGGCGAACGGGUGAGUAACACGUGGGUGACCUGCCCUCAGCUCUGGGAUAAGCCUGGGAAACCGGGUCUAAUACUGGAUAUGACUCCAUGACGCAUGUUGUGGGGUGGAAAGCCUUGUGCGGCUGAGGAUGGGCCCGCGGCCUAUCAGCUUGUUGGUGGGGUGAUGGCCUACCAAGGCGACGACGGGUAGCCGGCCUGAGAGGGCGACCGGCCACACUGGGACUGAGACACGGCCCAGACUCCUACGGGAGGCAGCAGCGGGGAAUCUUGCGCAAUGGGCGAAAGCCUGACGCAGCGACGCCGCGUGAGGGAUGACGGCCUCGGUU
This 393-nucleotide ribosomal RNA is filed under the name uncultured bacterium. RNAcentral describes it as "bacterial SSU rRNA". It matches the Rfam family "Bacterial small subunit ribosomal RNA", at positions 28 to 424 of the family's 1533-position model. The record is from RNAcentral.